This 463-nucleotide long non-coding RNA is filed under the name Nicotiana benthamiana. Its description in RNAcentral is "long non-coding RNA (NBEN_LNC030517)". The record is from RNAcentral. Lineage: Eukaryota; Viridiplantae; Streptophyta; Magnoliopsida; Solanales; Solanaceae.
AGAUUUGGUUAUAAGAAAAUUGAAAUACACAGACUUGAACUAUAUAUAGUGUUAGUUACAAAUAACAGUGAGCCAGCUAAGUCAUAUGUAGUUCAAGUCUGUAUAUUAAAACAGUGAGCCAGAUACAAAGUACAAAUAACAGCUAUAAAACUACAAAUAACAGCUACAAAAUAUGUAGUUCAAGACCGUACAUUAAUGCAAACAGUAGUUUCAAUGUAGUCAAUUGCAGUUAAAUGUAGUGUUCAAUAACUACAAAAUAUGUAGCAGCAAACUACAUUGUGAGAGUAAUGUUUUAGUGUUAGAAUAAAAUAUCAUAACUAUUAUAUAGUGUUAGAAUAAAUAUAUGUAAAUUCUUACCUUGGACUCAUCUAAUUCAUUUCUCUUGUUGACAGCAUUCACUAAGCUUUUCAAAGAUUCAUCUAUGAACUCUCGAAGUUUUGAGGGUUCAUCAAAAACAUCAUUC